This is a long non-coding RNA of Oryzias latipes (Japanese medaka), 2181 nucleotides long. RefSeq lists it as uncharacterized. The record is from RefSeq and is a predicted model, not a curated record. Lineage: Eukaryota; Metazoa; Chordata; Actinopteri; Beloniformes; Adrianichthyidae.
AUGACCAAAGUGAAAGCAUAUUUUAAAAGAAAAUUGUAUAUUUCUCACUAGAAAUGUUGUCAAAAUAAAAAUUAGUCCUCAAAAUAUCUUGUUUUAUGGGAUAUUCCACCGAAAAAUGAACGAGCAUCCACCAUGUUUUUUGUUCACGGCAGGCAAAACCUCCAAAGUCACGUGAUCCUGAGAAGGCUCGUAGAAAAUGAAUAGAAAAAUGAAAUGUAUCCGCCUCACAGUUUAGGGGGCGUUUUUGUAAAACUCUCACGCAUUUCCAUGUGGACAAAUGUAGCUACUACACAUUUUAGGAUGAGACCGGGUUGCCCUGCGUUGUCUGAAAUCAAGUCUGCUUUUCCAAAGGCAGAUCUUUCUGCUAAAAAGGAGAAAUAUGCUUCUGUAAUUACAUCUCUUGUGACGGAAUUCAACCAGCGUUUUCAAGAUUUUUCUGUCAUUGAAAAACAAAUCAAGUAGUUCUCGACCCCCUUCCUGGUGGAUGCAGAAGAAGUGGAGGAGAGUCUGCAGUUAGAGCUGAUUGAAAUGCAAUGUGAUGAUUCUCUGAAGAGUCAAUAUCAGCUUCUCUCCCUCCCUGACGUCUAUCAGAGUUUGGAUCAUGCCAAGUUUCCUCUGAUGAGACGCCACGGAAAAAGAAUGAUCAGCCUGUUCGGCUCAACAUACAUAUGUGAACAAACAUUUUCUCUGUUAAAUAAGAACAAAAGCAGACUGAGGUCCAGAAUGACAGAUAGCCAUCUCUGUGAAGUCCUUCGUAUCUCAACCACCAACCCGACAUCCCAGCCAUCCUUCAAUCCAAAGCACAGCAUCACUGCUUCCACUGAGAGGAAUGUUCUCCACAUUAUUGCUGAAAUACAUAGACAGAGCUGCAGAAAGAAGGGGGAAAUAUGGCGUCACUGAACCUCUUGCACCAAAAAGGAAAUUCUAUCAAGCUUCAGCUCCAGUUGUAAACUACGAACAGCCCACAAAAGAUGGCUUGACGAGCAACAAUAUUGGGAGUAAAAUGUUACAGCUGGCAGGAAGGCAGGGGUUUGGGGCGCCACCAACAGGGCAUCAUGACUUCCAUCGCGGCUUCAUAGAGCAAAGGGCACAGGCUUAGGAAGUAAAGGAAGUUCCUAUGAGCUGUCUCCGUCUGACACAAGGAUGAAGCUCUUUAAAUUAUGUGUGUUUAAUGUUAAAAUUGUCCUCGUUGGUCUGCUCAUAAACCCGUUCUGAGUGAAUGUUUCAUUUUGACGUUCAUUUGUUUUAUGAGGCACAGAUCAGCAUCACUGCUCCCACUGAGAGCAAUGUUCUUCACAUUAUAGGUGAGUUAGAAAUACACAGUAAUCAUGUGUCAAUAUGUCACCUCUUGUGUGCGGCCCGGACCUUUGCUCAAUUUUCUGUAUUUGGCACUCACCAAAAAAACUUUGGACACCGCUGGUCUACAAUUUGUAUUUGUCAAAUUGCACGUGUCUUUUGUCAUUUGUUUUUAAAGUUGUCUUCAACCCAUCCAUGUAUGUUUGUGAUUUACAUAUUUGAUUUGUCAGGCUCUUUCACGUCCGUCACGCCUACAGGCAUAAAGACAGGAAAAUCCGUAAAGAAAGAGAAAGAAUUUGAGUAAUGUGGCUUAAAUUCAUUGAGAGGCAUCACACUUUUAAAUGUUGCUAAUUUUCAUGGGAGCUGUGUAGAAGUUAAUGACAAUAUAAACAGCAUAUUUUCAGAACCCAAAAGGAUUUGUUUCACGCAAAUAGUUUUGACAUUUAAAUGAGUUAGAUUAUCCUACAUUACCCAUAAUGCCUAUCGCCCGGAAGAAGCAGUGGACGGUUCCAGAUACAAACAUCCCUGAAUAUUAGCGGACUGAGUUAGACUGGGUGGCUGUUGGUCGUUCCUAAGUUCCAGAGUUCCUUGAACGCAUCAUGCAGAGAGGGGUUGGCUCUCAGUUAGUCGUUCAGCGUUCUGGAGAGAUUGAGAGUUGCUGCAUGUUGUACGCCGUUGGUUACGGCCUACAGUAGCCAAAAUAAAAACCAUAAAAAGGAUUUAGUCUCCGUGCCCAAGUCCUGAAAAACAGGCCCACACCAUAAUUCCUUCUCCACCAAAAUUUCUCACUCUGGAAUACACAGAGCUCCUGAGAGCGGCCCAUUCUUUCACAGGUGUUUGUAAAAACAGUCUGCAUGCCAAAGUGUUUGAUUUUAUGCACCUGUG